This 465-nucleotide long non-coding RNA is filed under the name Mustela putorius furo (domestic ferret). RNAcentral's name for it is "lncRNA (ENSMPUG00000025805.1)". The record is from RNAcentral. Lineage: Eukaryota; Metazoa; Chordata; Mammalia; Carnivora; Mustelidae.
AUUCAAACCCAGGUAAUGUCUUUGGGAACCAGCUGCCACCAGCAGAGACCACAGAGACCACAGUGUAACAGGGAGAAAAAUGCCCUACAAAGCCAAAUGCCGAAGUCAGAGAGCACAGAAGAAUGGAAUUAAACAGAGGGAUAGACUAGGAUCUCUGAGUGGAAGACUCAUGAACAUAGAUUUGGGCUCAAGAGAAUACGUUUUUAACAUCAGACGAUCCAACAACGAAUGUGCUGCCUAGUGGAAGUAAGUGAUCAAAGAGAAGUCCCAGGAACACUCAGAUGGUGUGCAAUUAUUGGCAUUCUAAUUUUCAUUAUUGUUGUAAUCAUUAUCUUGGUAGCAUUCCAUCAAGUAGAUGUGGACACUGAUUUGUAUUGAAACGGCCCCACCAAGGGAGUCCCAAUAAGUUCUCUUCAGUCAAACUUGAGUUUAAAGGCAGGUUCUAUCAUUUACCAGUUACAAAGC